GGUGCUUGCAUCAUGAUUUACAUUUGAGUGAGUGGCGAACUGGUGAGUAACACGUGGGAAACCUGCCCAGAAGCGGGGGAUAACACCUGGAAACAGAUGCUAAUACCGCAUAACAACUUGGACCGCAUGGUCCGAGUUUGAAAGAUGGCUUCGGCUAUCACUUUUGGAUGGUCCCGCGGCGUAUUAGCUAGAUGGUGGGGUAACGGCUCACCAUGGCAAUGAUACGUAGCCGACCUGAGAGGGUAAUCGGCCACAUUGGGACUGAGACACGGCCCAAACUCCUACGGGAGGCAGCAGUAGGGAAUCUUCCACAAUGGACGAAAGUCUGAUGGAGCAACGCCGCGUGAGUGAAGAAGGGUUUCGGCUCGUAAAACUCUGUUGUUAAAGAAGAACAUAUCUGAGAGUAACUGUUCAGGUAUUGACGGUAUUUAACCAGAAAGCCACGGCUAACUACGUGCCAGCAGCCGCGGUAAUACGUAGGUGGCAAGCGUUGUCCGGAUUUAUUGGGCGUAAAGCGAGCGCAGGCGGUUUUUUAAGUCUGAUGUGAAAGCCUUCGGCUCAACCGAAGAAGUGCAUCGGAAACUGGGAAACUUGAGUGCAGAAGAGGACAGUGGAACUCCAUGUGUAGCGGUGAAAUGCGUAGAUAUAUGGAAGAACACCAGUGGCGAAGGCGGCUGUCUGGUCUGUAACUGACGCUGAGGCUCGAAAGUAUGGGUAGCAAACAGGAUUAGAUACCCUGGUAGUCCAUACCGUAAACGAUGAAUGCUAAGUGUUGGAGGGUUUCCGCCCUUCAGUGCUGCAGCUAACGCAUUAAGCAUUCCGCCUGGGGAGUACGGCCGCAAGGCUGAAACUCAAAGGAAUUGACGGGGGCCCGCACAAGCGGUGGAGCAUGUGGUUUAAUUCGAAGCUACGCGAAGAACCUUACCAGGUCUUGACAUACUAUGCAAAUCUAAGAGAUUAGACGUUCCCUUCGGGGACAUGGAUACAGGUGGUGCAU
RNAcentral lists this ribosomal RNA (997 nucleotides) under Lactiplantibacillus plantarum. RNAcentral's name for it is "bacterial SSU rRNA". It matches the Rfam family "Bacterial small subunit ribosomal RNA", at positions 64 to 1046 of the family's 1533-position model. Lineage: Bacteria; Bacillati; Bacillota; Bacilli; Lactobacillales; Lactobacillaceae. The record is from RNAcentral.